This 431-nucleotide ribosomal RNA is filed under the name uncultured bacterium. Its description in RNAcentral is "bacterial SSU rRNA". It matches the Rfam family "Bacterial small subunit ribosomal RNA", at positions 1088 to 1533 of the family's 1533-position model. The record is from RNAcentral.
CGCAACGAGCGCAACCCUAAUCGCAUGUUGCCAGCGUAAAGUCGGGCACUCUUCGAAACUGCCCGUGUAAGCGGAAGGAAGGUGGGGAAUACGUCAAGUCGACAUGGCCCUUACACCUGGGGCUACACACAUGCUACAAUGGCCGGUAACAGAGGGUCGCAAUACCGCGAGGUGGAGCAAAUCCAAAAAAUCCGGUCUCAGUUCGAAUUGCAGUCUGCAACUCGACUGCAUGAAGUCGGAAUCGCUAGUAACCGCAGGUCAGCUAUACUGCGGUGAAUACGUGCCCGGGCCAAUGUACACACCGCCCGUCAAGUGACCUGAGUCGGUUGCACCCGAAACGAUGGCCCAACCCGAAAGGCAGGGAGUCGUCGAAGGUGUGGCCGGUAAGGGGCGCUAAGUCGUAAGAAGGUAACCCGGGAGGCCGCACGAGA